This 924-nucleotide long non-coding RNA is filed under the name Marmota monax (woodchuck). The record is from RNAcentral. Lineage: Eukaryota; Metazoa; Chordata; Mammalia; Rodentia; Sciuridae.
CACAACCUGGGAUUUACCGUAUCCUUUUGUUUGUUGAUGUUUUCAGCUUCCAGACUCCUCUGAUACAGCAUGAAACCUAUCCUGGUCGAAGUUCAAUGCAUGCCACCGAACGUGCGGACCAAGUAGGUGCUCAACGAAUAACUUAACCACCAGCAUUAACUGACAGGAAAGGAGAUACCGGGGUCUCCCUCCCCUUUGCAAGGCCUGGAGGUGGUAUUCACGGAGUUGCCAAAUCAAGAUUCUAGAACUGCUUCUCUACCAUUCAAAUAGUCCCAUUUGGGGUUCUGAGGCCACAACCUUGCCACAGGGUUCGGGCGAUUUCUGGCUCUCUAGCGACACCUGGUGGCCAUACUUAGAUCUGCAUCUUCAAGAAAACCCCUCCCUAUCUUUUAAGUCUCAAACUAAGAUGGAGAGAAAGGAGGGGAAAUUGAAAAAGUGAAAAGGUGACCAUGGGGGGUUCUGGGGAAAGCAACUCGGUGGUAAAAGAGGAAACCUAAGUGGUCACCAUGGUGCACACCUGUCAUCCCAGCAGCUCAGGAGGCUGAGGCAGGAGGAUCAAGAGUUCAAAGCCAGCCUCAGCAACAGCAAGGCCCUGAGCAAGUCAGUGAGACCCUGUCUCUAAAUAAAGUACAAAAUAGGGCUGGGGAGGGGGCUCAGUGGUCGAGGGCCCCUGAGUUCAAUCCCUGGUACAAAAAACAAAAGACUUAGAAACCUUUCUUUUUCCUGUGCCUCUUUUUAAAUUUCUCUUUUCUUUCUCCUCCUCCUCCUCCUCCUCCUCCUUGGACACUGGGGAUGGAACCCAGGGGUGCUCUACCCCAUCCCUUUCUACUAUUUAUUUUGAGAUAAGCUCUUGACAGGUGGUGGAGGCUGGCCUCAAGCUUUCGAUCCUCCUGCCUCAGCCUCCUCAGUCGCUAGGAUGACAGG